Molecule: long non-coding RNA, 234 nt
Filed under: Mytilus galloprovincialis (Mediterranean mussel)
Lineage: Eukaryota; Metazoa; Mollusca; Bivalvia; Mytilida; Mytilidae
Source: RNAcentral
GACCAAAAUGGUCAGUUGACCUCUUUAGGAGUUAUUGCCCUUUAUAGUAAAUUUUUAACCAUUUUUCGUAAAUCUCAGUAAUCUUUUAGAAAAAUCUUCUCUGAUGAAACUACUGGGCCAAAUUAAUCCAAACUUGGCCAUAAUCAUCAUUGGGGUAUUUUGUUUAAAAAAUGUGUCUGGUAACUCGGCCAACAAACCAAGAUGGCGACCAUAGCUAAAAUUAGAACAUGGGGG